GAUGAACGCUGGCGGCGUGCCUAAUACAUGCAAGUCGAGCGAACAGACGAGGAGCUUGCUCCUCUGACGUUAGCGGCGGACGGGUGAGUAACACGUGGAUAACCUACCUAUAAGACUGGGAUCACUUCGGGAAACCGGAGCUAAUACCGGAUAACAUGUUGAACCGCAUGGUUCAACAGUGAAAGACGGUCUUGCUGUCACUUAUAGCUGGAUCCGCGCCGCAUUAGCUAGUUGGUAAGGUAACGGCUUACCAAGGCAACGAUGCGUAGCCGACCUGAGAGGGUGAUCGGCCACACUGGAACUGAGACACGGUCCAGACUCCUACGGGAGGCAGCAGUAGGGAAUCUUCCGCAAUGGGCGAAAGCCUGACGGAGCAACGCCGCGUGAGUGAAGAAGGUCUUCGGAUCGUAAAACUCUGUUAUUAGGGAAGAACAAAUGUGUAAGUAACUAUGCACGUCUUGACGGUACCUAAUCGGAAAGCCACGGCUAACUACGU
RNAcentral lists this ribosomal RNA (496 nucleotides) under uncultured bacterium. Its description in RNAcentral is "partial 16S ribosomal RNA". It matches the Rfam family "Bacterial small subunit ribosomal RNA", at positions 28 to 506 of the family's 1533-position model. The record is from RNAcentral.